GUUUUUUGUGGUACUGGGAUGGAACCCAGGGCCUUCACACUGAGCUAUAUCCUCAACCCUUUUGAUUUUUUAUUUUGAGACAAGGACUCUGUAAAUUGCUAAAUUGCUCAGGCUGGGCUCAAAUUUGCAAUCCUCCUGCCUCAGCCUCCCAAAUAGCUUGGAUGACAGGUGUGCAGCACAUGCCCAGAGUGUUUUGGUUUGGUUUUGUUUGUUGAGAAGCCCAGGCUUGUGGUGAAAACUGCUACUACGAAACCAACCACUGUGUAAGUGUUUUCAUUGGGCCGGAACCCUUAGGAACCACCAACUCGUCCAUUUGAGAGAUGGAGAAACUGAGGCACUGGAAAGUUAAUUGACUUGGCUAAAAUCACACAGCAGGAGGGAGCAGAGCCAGGAUGUAAGGCCCCGUGCUUGGGCCUUGAUCACGCAGCAAAACGUGAUGGCCCCUUGUGGUGGAGUCAUCAGCUGGAGAGGCCAGGAGCCAAGAUAAUGGGGUCUGGGCCAAGGCGCUGGGACUUUCCUUGGAAGGUAAUAGGGAGCCAUGGAAGGUGUUAGAAGAUGGGUUCUUGGUUACUUCUGUGCUUUGAACUUCUUGGCCCAGAUUACUCUUUGGGGCGGGCAUCCCGGGCACUGCAGCGUGCACUGAUGUCCCUGGCCUCCACCUGCGCCAGCUCCAGGAGCUCCAGGAGUUGUAACAGCCACAGGUGUCCCCAGACAUCAUCGAAAGACUCAUGGGGGUCAGAGUCACCUGCCCUGACUUACCAUCAGAGAUGCUGGGCCAAAGCGUCUCUGGAUCCCAUGUGCAGGGGAAGAGUGGACAGGUGUGGGCCGGGACUUAAGAAGGAGCAGCUUUUAGGGGGCGAGCGCAGUGCUGGAGAAGAGAGGAGCAGGAGGCUCCGGCUCGUGAGGGGACCUGGGGCGCCAGGACAUUCCACUGCCCUGUCCCGGGCCCUCACCCCAGCGGCGCAGGGCAGAGCGGGCACUGGGGUCCUGAAGGGUGAGGCUGUGCGCCGCCGUGAAGCAGAGGCUCAGAGGGGACGGGUGACGCGGGCCGCGGGGGCCCCCUCUGCUGGGACUCCCACCACCAGGCCCGGUGGAUGCGGGGCCAUGGCCGCCCUGCUCUGGGUAGGAGCCCCUGGUCAGCUGCCGCCUGGCCAGGACACCUGGGGGGACUCGAGUUUAUUCCUCGCACCGUAGUAGCCUAACCCCAUGAGGACCCCCAGAUGUGUGCUGAGCACCUACUGUGUGCGAGGUACGUUCUAAGUGGACAAUUAGAGCAGGGACCAAAGGGAAAAAACCCCUCCCCCGAGGGCUGACAACCUCUAAAUGUGAAUUGGGGCCUCCCGCCUCUGCCCUCAGGCCUCGCGGCUUCCACAGCCCGGUCCUCCUGCAGCCCACAGAGCUCUGCAUGGCCACCCGUCCCCUCACUGCCUGCGCUGCACCUGCUCCCAGCCUCUUCCCUUGGCUCCAGCCACAUGGGCUUCUCAUUACCCCUGCACUGCAGAGACUCCAUCCUGCCCCAGGGCCUUUGCACAGAGCCACGCAUUCUAUUUCAAUUGUUCUAUAUCAUAUCACCGAUUGGCCAAUUUCAUCUCCUUCCAGUGUUGAUUUAAAUGUCACCUUCUCCAUGGGGUCUCCUUCGAUUUCCUGGUGCAAUUCUACCAAGGCCAGGACCAGGGUCAACAUGCUUUUGAGUAAGUUUCUUUCUUUAGGCAUAAAACUUAGAGUAUAUGGGCAUACGCUAACAGUUUAUAGUCUGCUAGUGUAUGAUUAUAUUACAGAGUUACAUCAGAACUACACAUGUGGGGCUGGGGGUAUAGCUCAGCAGCAGAAGUGCCUGCCUGGCAAGCACAAGGUCAGAGUUCGAUUCCCAGUACCAAAAAAAAAAAAAAAAAAAAAAGCAAAAAAAAACACCUUAGAGUAUAGCCAGGCAUGGUGGCUGAAGCAGGAGGGUUGCAAGUUUGAACCCAGGCUGGGCAGUUUAACAACUUGGUGAGACCUAAAUUAAAAACAAAUUGGUGUCUUGGUGUCUCUAAAUUAAAAACAAAUAUUUUUUUGCCUUUUUUUGGAGACAGGGUCUCACUAUGGAGUUCAGGCUGGCCUUGAGCUCACUUUGUAGCCCAGGCUGGUCUCAAACUCGCAAUAAUCCUCCUGCCUCAGCCUCCCAAGUGCUGGGAUUACAGGCCUGCAGUACCACACCUGGCUAAAUACAAAAUUUUAAAAUGGCUCAGGAUGUAGCUAGAGCUGACUCCUCUGGGUUCUAUCCUGAGUACCGUAAAAAUAAGUAAGUAAAAUAAAAAUUAGAUACACCAGUAAUCUUAGUUAUCCAGAUAAACAUUUUAUUUUAUUUCAUUUCAUUUUAC
Molecule: long non-coding RNA, 2360 nt
Organism: Chinchilla lanigera (long-tailed chinchilla)
Lineage: Eukaryota; Metazoa; Chordata; Mammalia; Rodentia; Chinchillidae
Source: Ensembl